This 48-nucleotide non-coding RNA is filed under the name Trichobilharzia regenti. The record is from RNAcentral. Lineage: Eukaryota; Metazoa; Platyhelminthes; Trematoda; Strigeidida; Schistosomatidae.
GUGCUUCUAAAGAGUCCCAGGCACUAGGACGAAACAGCUGUCCAGCAC